This 303-nucleotide ribosomal RNA is filed under the name uncultured bacterium. RNAcentral's name for it is "partial 16S ribosomal RNA". It matches the Rfam family "Bacterial small subunit ribosomal RNA", at positions 507 to 807 of the family's 1533-position model. The record is from RNAcentral.
AGCAGUCGCCGCGGUAAUACGUAGGUGGCAAGCGUUGUCCGGAAUUAUUGGGCGUAAAGGGCUCGCAGGCGGUUUCUUAAGUCUGAUGUGAAAGCCCCCGGCUCAACCGGGGAGGGUCAUUGGAAACUGGGAAACUUGAGUGCAGAAGAGGAGAGUGGAAUUCCACGUGUAGCGGUGAAAUGCGUAGAGAUGUGGAAGAACACCAGUGGCGGAGGCGACUCUCUGGUCUGUAACUGACGCUGAGGAGCGAAAGCGUGGGGAGCGAACAGGAUUAGAUACCCGCGUAGUCCCUGUCUCUUAUAC